CCCUGCCAUUUGUACACACCGCCCGUCGCUACUACCGAUUGAAUGGUUUAGUGAGUUCCAUGGAUUGUGCCGCCUCCCGGCAACGGGUAGCGGCGUGAGAAGUGGCACAAACUUGACUAUUUAGAGGA
This 128-nucleotide ribosomal RNA is filed under the name uncultured eukaryote. Its description in RNAcentral is "partial small subunit ribosomal RNA". It matches the Rfam family "Eukaryotic small subunit ribosomal RNA", at positions 1651 to 1780 of the family's 1831-position model. The record is from RNAcentral.